RNAcentral lists this ribosomal RNA (507 nucleotides) under uncultured Glomeromycotina. RNAcentral describes it as "partial small subunit ribosomal RNA". It matches the Rfam family "Eukaryotic small subunit ribosomal RNA", at positions 591 to 1092 of the family's 1831-position model. Lineage: Eukaryota; Fungi; Glomeromycota. The record is from RNAcentral.
CCAAUAGCGUAUAUUAAAGUUGUUGCAGUUAAAAAGCUCGUAGUUGAAUUUCGGGAUUGACGUGAUGGUCAUGCCUUAAGGGGUAUGAACUGUUACUGUUGAUUUCUCACCUUCUGGAGAAACUUGAUGUCCUUUAUUGGGUGUCUUGCGGAUCCAGGACCUUUACCUUGAAAAAAUUAGAGUGUUUAAAGCAGGCAUUUUUGCUCGAAUACAUUAGCAUGGAAUAAUAGAAUAGGACGGCAUGGUUCUAUUUUGUUGGUUUCUAGGAUCAACGUAAUGAUUAAUAGGGAUAGUUGGGGGCAUUAGUAUUCAAUUGUCAGAGGUGAAAUUCUUGGAUUUAUUGAAGACUAACUACUGCGAAAGCAUUUGCCAAGGAUGUUUUCAUUAAUCAAGAACGAAAGUUAGGGGAUCGAAGACGAUCAGAUACCGUCGUAGUCUUAACCAUAAACUAUGCCGACUAGGAAUCAGACGAUGUUAAUUUUUUAAUGACUCGUUUGGCACCUUACG